UACGUAGGGGGCAAGCGUUGUCCGGAUUUAUUGGGCGUAAAGAGCGUGUAGGCGGCCAGGUAGGUCUGCUGUGAAAACUCGAGGCUCAACCUCGAGAUGUCGGCGGAAGCCAUCUGGCUAGAGUCCGGAAGAGGAGAAUGGAAUUCCCGGUGUAGCGGUGAAAUGCGCAGAUAUCGGGAAGAACACCCGUGGCGAAGGCGGUUCUCUGGGACGGUACUGACGCUGAGACGCGAAAGCGUGGGGAGCGAACAGG
RNAcentral lists this ribosomal RNA (253 nucleotides) under uncultured bacterium. RNAcentral's name for it is "partial 16S ribosomal RNA". It matches the Rfam family "Bacterial small subunit ribosomal RNA", at positions 524 to 776 of the family's 1533-position model. The record is from RNAcentral.